GAGCGGGCAGUCGGGGCGGCCCAGCACCGAGGCGCUCCCUCCAUGCCGGGGACACUAGCUCUGGCCGGCUCCCAAUUUUGGAGAUGAACGGCCACAAAGUGCGAUAAACAGGUCACACCUCUCCUCUGCAGAUCGAACCGGGGCGCCGGUGCACGUGUACGGCCGCCGGCACCGCCCUGCAGUCCCCUCGGGCACAGACCGGCCGGGGCCCCUCCGUGCUGCCCGCACCAGGCCCCGCGGCCAUGGCCGCCCCCGGGAACCGUCGGGGGAGGCGACGGCGGAGCGGCGAGGCCGUGUCGCAGGACCCGCGCGCGGCACCUGCCCGGCCCCCGCGGGCUUACCUUGUUGAGGUGCGGCUCCCGCGUCAGCAGGUGCAGAACAUGGGGUACACGUCCUCACCACCCCGCCAAGGGCACAGCUGGUGGGAGAAAGCAGGCCAGGAACCAAACUGGAUGACCACAGCAACCCUGCCCACCCCCUGGAAUGCUUCAAGGCCGGCCUCCUGGGAAACAACGGAACAGUAACUUUUACUCUGGUCCUGGCUGGCUGCCAAUUAAGGGAGUAACUUCUAAGUCUGCCCUGAGUACAGAAAUCAGUCUCCCUCUCCCUGCAGAAGAGAUGACCCAUCUGGGAACCCCCUCCUACCUUCAACCCUCCUGAUAAGGGGUAAUAAAAGUUCCUCUUGAAACUUUGAAGCUGAGCUGGCUCCUGCUCAGAGUCCACUCUGCUUUUUCUCCUUUCUCUACUAAUAAAGCCCUUCUCAUUCCUGGA
Otolemur garnettii (small-eared galago) is the source of this 771-nucleotide long non-coding RNA. RefSeq lists it as uncharacterized. The record is from RefSeq and is a predicted model, not a curated record. The transcript has 2 exons. NCBI's taxonomy places the organism in Eukaryota, Metazoa, Chordata, Mammalia, Primates, Galagidae.